GUGCUCAAUUCAGCAGCACAAAAAAAAAAAUGGAACAAUACAGAGAAGAUUAGCAUGGCCUCUGCACAAGGUCGACAUGCAAAUUAGUGAAGCUUUUCAUAUUUUU
Small nuclear RNA from Dipodomys spectabilis (banner-tailed kangaroo rat), 106 nucleotides. Lineage: Eukaryota; Metazoa; Chordata; Mammalia; Rodentia; Heteromyidae. The record is from RefSeq and is a predicted model, not a curated record.